RNAcentral lists this ribosomal RNA (158 nucleotides) under Catathelasma singeri. Its description in RNAcentral is "5.8S ribosomal RNA". It matches the Rfam family "5.8S ribosomal RNA". Rfam says of the family: 5.8S ribosomal RNA (5.8S rRNA) is a component of the large subunit of the eukaryotic ribosome. It is transcribed by RNA polymerase I as part of the 45S precursor that also contains 18S and 28S rRNA. Functionally, it is thought that 5.8S rRNA may be involved in ribosome translocation. Lineage: Eukaryota; Fungi; Basidiomycota; Agaricomycetes; Agaricales; Biannulariaceae. The record is from RNAcentral.
CAACUUUCAACAAUGGAUCUCUUGGCUCUCGCAUCGAUGAAGAAUGUAGCGAAAUGCGAUAAGUAAUGUGAAUUGCAGAAGUCAGUGAAUCAUUGAAUCUUUGAACGCACCUUGCGCUCCUUGGUAUUCCGAGGAGCAUACCUGUUUGAGUGUCAUUA